AGCAUGCUGGUAUAUUUAGCCAAGUAUCUCGCAAUGUGUAUAUUUUAUUUAGAUUUUUUGUCAUUUCGGACACCAUGUUAAUCAUGAAUAUCUUUCUAAUUAUGUAAGGCUGGGCAUUGUAUCUCGUCAUCAAACGCUAGACCAGAAAUAGUCAGAAGUUUACAUUUUUUCCCUACUUCCUCGUUAUGCAGACAUAAGCACAAUUGGCUCCAUUGAGGUGCGGAUGUUUACUUUCUACAAUUUUUCAGUUUCGUCCUAAGAACAGAUUGUAGUGGUAAAAUAAAAAGGGAUACCUUUCUUUUGUGCCAUUUGGGCUAAAUGGGAAUCUAAGCUUCACUCCAGUCAAAACAGGCUCUGCGAACGUUCGAUUCCAUUCAUUUGAUAUGGGCUAGUGUUUUAGCGUAGCCAACGUUCUAAAGCCAUUUUUCAGCCUUGGGUGAAUUUUGACUCGUUCUAUUGUCCAGCUUACCUAUGUGGAUGCCUCCAUCUAGUUCCCAAGAGCAGCAGACCGAUCUGCCACCCCCAGUAGUUCAGCUGUAGUCACAGCAGUCCUCUGCUGUGGUAUUUAAUUUACCGGCUUCACCAGUUCCUACUUCACUGGCCUUGAAGGGAGAAACUUUUGACGAUUCCCAAAUGGAUACAGAUCUGCAAUGCUCUCCACCACUGCCUGACAGCCUCACCCAGAAGUGCAUACACUGGGCCUAUCAAGACUGACAAAGCAGAGAUGGGUGGGUGACAAGGAAACUUAAAACACAACAUGCACACACACACCCUCUCUCUCUCUGUCACACACACAUUAUCCCCAAUGUAAAUACAUUGUAGUUACUUGUUUAUUUUAUGUAUGCUUCAUUUUAUUUGAGGAAAAUGUCUGCAAUAAAGUUU
This is a long non-coding RNA of Salvelinus namaycush (lake trout), 882 nucleotides long. RefSeq lists it as uncharacterized. Lineage: Eukaryota; Metazoa; Chordata; Actinopteri; Salmoniformes; Salmonidae. The transcript is spliced from 3 exons. The record is from RefSeq and is a predicted model, not a curated record.